RNAcentral lists this ribosomal RNA (155 nucleotides) under uncultured bacterium. RNAcentral's name for it is "partial 16S ribosomal RNA". It matches the Rfam family "Archaeal small subunit ribosomal RNA", at positions 319 to 474 of the family's 1478-position model. The record is from RNAcentral.
ACUCCUACGGGAGGCAGCAGGCGCGAAAACUCUGCAAUGCGCGAAAGCGUGACAGGGGGAAUCUGAGUGGUAGGCAUUUUAGCCUAUCUUUUGCCAAGGCCAAACACCUUGGAGAAUAAGUUCUGGGUAAGACCAGUGCCAGCAGCCGCGGUAAU